AUUUUUUUUUUCACUUCUAUUAGUAGCAUAAGUAAUUUUCAGAUCAAAUCUUCUUCCAUGGAAAUUAUGAGUGAUGGUCUUAUUACAGAUUAGAUCAUGUGCAAAUCAAUGGUUUUUUGGCCCAAUAGGCCUUUUCUACUUAAUGUAACAGUAACCACUCCAACGAAGUAAAACAAUAAAUUCAAGUUAAUCUUUUCCUUAAAACUCACAGAACAUUAAUUUAAAUAUAAUUCUUUACAAGAAAUAAUUGACUUGCCUGUGUCUUAUGCUCUAUUUUAAUAUAUUUUUAUGACUUGUUUUCUUUAAUGAAUGAUGGCCUUCUUCCCUUUUCAUCUCUCAAACCAAAAGUUCUGGUUUCAGUGGAGAAAAGUCAGCAAUUACCACAGUGUCCCUUUCAGUCAGCUGUGGCCAGGAAUUUUCAGAAAAUAACAGAGUAAUCCAAGUAACUUCCUUCACUAUGUCUUUUUCUAUGGUUUUACUCAUUCAUGACAUAGACUUCUUUUUGUAUCCCAAUUAAUUUAGCUAUACUGUCCCCCUAUUUGUUGCUCUCACAUGCAAAGUUGGUCUCUGCUUUAGGAAUUGCACUUACUGUUCUUGCUGACUGGAGUGGUUUGCUGUAGAUUUUGAAUAAUUGAAUUUUUCUUGUAAUUAAAGUCUCAGUUUAAAUAGUAUAUAUGAGACUAGCCAUACCUAUUCAUUCCCUCAAUUAUGUUUUUUUUCCCUUUAGGGAGAAUUCAUUACCAUCUAACUUAGAAUAUUACCUGGCUCAUAUUACAUAAUGAAACAAAUAACAUGUAUACAUUAAUCUCACUAAGACAUUAACCCCAAUUUUAGAUGACAUCAAUCACUAUAAUAUAUUUGCAUAAAUUAAAAUAAAGUAGAAGGAAAUGAGCUUAGACAUAUGUGGGUCAUUAUCAAAUGGUCUAAUAUAAUUAAAAUUGUUCUAAAAAGAAGUGAUAAAGGAUGCAGGAAAGGAAACAUAAUAACAGAGAACUUUCUAAAACCAAUUAAAGACAAAACAUAGGUUCAAGAAACUCAACUUUAUUCCUAACAUAGGCAAAUAAAAAUAAGCCUUUAAAUAGUAAGAAUAACUUGCUGGAAACCAAAGAUAAAGGGAAAAGCUUUCAACUGAUGAGAGGAAAAAGUGCCUUAUUUUCAAAAAAGAAUAAGAGUUAUGGUUGCUUUUCAACAGAAAGAAUGGAAUCCAGAAAAUAAUGGAAAGACAACUUUAAAAUGCACCAAGAACCUCCUUGGCCCCCAGAGAAACCUCGAAUCCUAUAAUCUUCUAAAACAUUCUUUAGCAGUAAUGCUCAGAAUCUUUCUGAACUGGCCAAGUAGGAACACAGCCCACUAUAAUCUCUCUUUCCCAGUGAUCAUAAUGAAAAAUAUUGAACAGAAUGUGUAAAGUGCCACCCGUGGACCUUGAAAAGUAACCAGUAGCAGGAGGAAAGUGGAAACUGAAGAAAUGGCAGUCAGGGAGGGGGUUCC
This 1488-nucleotide long non-coding RNA is filed under the name Marmota monax (woodchuck). The record is from RNAcentral. Lineage: Eukaryota; Metazoa; Chordata; Mammalia; Rodentia; Sciuridae.